GUGCUCGCUUCGGCAGCACAUAUACUAAAACUGGAAUGAUACAGAGAAGAUUACCAUGGCCCUUGCGCAAGGAUGGCAUGAAAAAUAUUAUUAAAAAAAAAAAGAAAU
RNAcentral lists this small nuclear RNA (108 nucleotides) under Propithecus coquereli (Coquerel's sifaka). The record is from RNAcentral. Lineage: Eukaryota; Metazoa; Chordata; Mammalia; Primates; Indriidae.